CCUGACGACCAUAGCAGGUGGGAACCACCCGAUCCCAUGCCGAACUCGGAAGUGAAACCACCCCGCGCCGAUGGUAGUGUGGAGCUUCUCCAUGCGAGAGUAGGUCAUCGUCAGGC
Molecule: ribosomal RNA, 116 nt
Filed under: Larsenimonas salina
Lineage: Bacteria; Pseudomonadati; Pseudomonadota; Gammaproteobacteria; Oceanospirillales; Halomonadaceae
Also listed under: 1 other name
Source: RNAcentral